GAUGAACGCUGGCGGCGUGCCUAACACAUGCAAGUCGAGCGAUCUCUUCGGAGAGAGCGGCGGACGGGUGAGUAACGCGUGGGUAACCUGCCCUGUACACACGGAUAACAUACCGAAAGGUAUACUAAAACGGGAUAAUAUAUGAAAGUCGCAUGGCUUUUGUAUCAAAGCUCCGGCGGUACAGGAUGGAUCCGCGUCUGAUUAGCUAGUUGGUAAGGUAAUGGCUUACCAAGGCAACGAUCAGUAGCCGACCUGAGAGGGUGAUCGGCCACACUGGAACUGAGACACGGUCCAGACUCCUACGGGAGGCAGCAGUGGGGAAUAUUGGACAAUGGGCGAAAGCCUGAUGCAGCAACGCCGCGUGAGCGAUGAAGGCCUUCGGGUCGUAAAGCUCUGUCCUCAAGGAAGAUAAUGACGGUACUUGAGGAGGAAGCCCCGGCUAACUACGUGCCAGCCGCCGCGGUAA
This 466-nucleotide ribosomal RNA is filed under the name uncultured bacterium. Its description in RNAcentral is "partial 16S ribosomal RNA". It matches the Rfam family "Bacterial small subunit ribosomal RNA", at positions 28 to 523 of the family's 1533-position model. The record is from RNAcentral.